AAAAUACUAAAAUAGUAAAUAAAUAUUUAUUAAAACUUAAAUAAUUUGGCGGUAUUUUAGUUCAUUUAGAGGAAUCUGUUUAAUAAUUGAUAUUCCACGAAUAAAUUUACUUAAUUUAUAAUUUUGUAUAUCGUUGUUAUAAAAAUAUUUUUUAAUAAAAUUAAUAUUUAAAAAUUAAUAUUAUAAAUUAAAUCAGAUCAAGAUGUAGAUUAUAAUUAAGAAUAUAAUGGAUUACAAUAAAUUUAUUUAAAUGGAUUUUAAUUUGUAAUAUUUAAUUGAAGGUGGAUUUAAAUGUAAUUUUAUUUAAUUUAAUAAAAUGAUUAAAAAUUAAAAUAUGU
This 338-nucleotide ribosomal RNA is filed under the name Sesamia poephaga. Its description in RNAcentral is "partial 12S ribosomal RNA". The record is from RNAcentral. Lineage: Eukaryota; Metazoa; Arthropoda; Insecta; Lepidoptera; Noctuidae.